CCCCGAGCGAGGGCGGGGGGUGGGGGGGGUGAACGUUCUUCGGCGGAUCCCGGCCUCGCCUGUGCACGCGCCCGCCUGCCGGCGCUCGCGGCUUUUUACGAAGGAGCGGGAACCAAGUUGCCUGCGUUCUUUGCAGAUGUGCAGGGCUGACAGCACUUGCAGGGGUGAGGCCGGUCUGGAUGCCGUAGACUGUGCAGCGGAGGGGCCGGGUGGGACAUGGAAGGAGACCCUCUGCUGGAGGAGGAG
This is an RNA transcript of Erinaceus europaeus (western European hedgehog), 246 nucleotides long. RefSeq lists it as uncharacterized. The record is from RefSeq and is a predicted model, not a curated record. NCBI's taxonomy places the organism in Eukaryota, Metazoa, Chordata, Mammalia, Eulipotyphla, Erinaceidae. The transcript is spliced from 2 exons.